Molecule: long non-coding RNA, 1732 nt
Filed under: Hordeum vulgare
Lineage: Eukaryota; Viridiplantae; Streptophyta; Magnoliopsida; Poales; Poaceae
Description: long non-coding RNA (HVUL_LNC017428)
Source: RNAcentral
UAUUGUUCAACUUUUGAUGUGCUUAUUUUCUGUUGAUGAGCUGAGAUUUUAGAAGGAACUGAAAGACAAUGUGGACAAUGGUUGGUUUCGUGUUGCAGGUUUGCCCAUCAAGAGACCAGGAAAAUGCAGCAUGAAAAUGUUCUACUGUAAAUAUGGCUCCGUCUACGACGAAGUCCUAGUUUAUGCAAUUGGAAGUGUGUAGAGUGUGUCUUGUUGAGAAGCACUCACUGACCUGGUGCUAUAGGAACAGCGCUUGCACUGUCCCACAGGUUGGAGCGAAGAGGGAGGAAGCAAACUGCAUGGGUGCUGCCUCCGAGUGGUGCUUGAGCAGGAGCAGCAGGCAGCGGUGCCAGCGUACGACUCUUUUAAAAUAGGCUUUCGUCCCGCUUUAUAGACAAAGCAAUCAUCAUGUCCAUACAAAAAGGUAUCAAAUCAUCAAGAAAAAAUAGUUGGCAUCAGCACGAGCACGCCCAAAGGAAGCUUAAGAGAAGGUGCGUCUGUGCCUGGCUGCGUGGGCGGUCGGGUUGGGGGAGAAGCUGGAAAUGUGCGAUGCUGAACAGGUGCCCGGGCCUGCAAGUUUAGUGCCUGUACGGCUGUACCCCAGGCAAGAUUAAAAUUUCACAUAGUUUACUAGUACUGAAUUCUUCUGACGCCUCCGGUUGUGGCCUUCGUUGCCCGGGGCGUACGCGUAGCUUCAUGCAAUCAGUGUAUGCAUCAAGAUAAAAUGGAUCGAAGUGUUUAUAGUAGAGGUAGUUUUUGGUUGUUCCGAGUAAUUAUUUAGAAAAAUAAUGCUCUUAUAUUUCUUUACAGAGGGAGUAUGUCGUUAUAUUUGUAUCCACCCAUUCCUCAUCUACGGCGGCGUGUCGAGAACUCAGAUAAGUUGGACGGACAUUUUAGGACCGGAGGAGAUGACCCAAGCUCUGAGCUGGUGUCCGCCGACGUCAUUUCUGAGAGCCUGUGCUUGAUCAAGGUGUGGCAAUAUCAGCUGCGUGGCAGCUCUGGCUGGUAUGAUUCCGACACUUGCAAGUAUAUCCGAUGAUAUUCACCUAAGAGGCUAAGAGUGCAAUUUUCCUUUUUCUUGGCUUCCAAAGAAAAGAGAUAUUCUUAUUCUGGUUCGAUGAACUCUGGAAAAUAAAGUUUCAGUGAUCAAUCUGAUGCACGAUUGAGAGAAAAAGUAAUAUAGUUUUCAGUUCAACAGAGAUGAUCAAGACAGAGCAUCUGCAGACUGCAAUACAGCUAGAAGUUCAAAAUGUUAUGAUCAAGACAGAGCAUCUGCUCAUCGGAAAAAAAAAAGACAGAGCAUCUGCAGACAAAAUCUUGAAGAAUCACUUCAUGGAACUGUUAGAGGGAAUCCCAGGUUAUGACGUUACUAUGGAUCAUGCUUUCAGAUUAAAGUCUUUUUCUUGCUCAAUAUUUUUCCUUAAUUUCAGAUGUGGUUAAAUUCCAGAUGUUUCCUUCUCAGACUAAUAAGGAAGAGUUCAGUACGAGAAUUCUGUGUGCUUUUGCUAGACAAUGACAAGUGCGCUACAAAUUUCAUUGAUGUUCUGAGAGACACUCGAUGGAUACAUGGCAAAUGUUUAGUAGGCGAGCCGGCAAAGCAUGUGUAGGAAAUAGCGAGAAGCGUAGUACCCUGUUGAGGACGACGGAUGCGUGUUUAUAUAGCCAGGAUAUGCAUACAAGUUGGUUAGGAUUACAAGAGAUAAGAAGAUAACAGGGAGUCGGUUUACAUGAG